RNAcentral lists this ribosomal RNA (181 nucleotides) under uncultured bacterium. Its description in RNAcentral is "partial 16S ribosomal RNA". It matches the Rfam family "Bacterial small subunit ribosomal RNA", at positions 283 to 494 of the family's 1533-position model. The record is from RNAcentral.
UCCGCCCGCCGCGCGCGGCGGGCGGGGCGGGGGCACGGGGGGCCUACGGGAGGCAGCAGUGAGGAAUAUUGGACAAUGGGCGAAAGCCUGAUCCAGCCAUGCCGCGUGUGUGAUGAAGGCCUUAGGGUUGUAAAGCACUUUCGACGGGGAUGAUAAUGACCGUACCCGAGAAGAGUAUUAC